This 434-nucleotide ribosomal RNA is filed under the name uncultured Ruminococcus sp. RNAcentral describes it as "partial 16S ribosomal RNA". It matches the Rfam family "Bacterial small subunit ribosomal RNA", at positions 341 to 792 of the family's 1533-position model. The record is from RNAcentral. Lineage: Bacteria; Bacillati; Bacillota; Clostridia; Eubacteriales; Oscillospiraceae.
ACGGAAGGCAGCAGUGGGGAAUAUUGCACAAUGGGGGAAACCCUGAUGCAGCAACGCCGCGUGAAGGAAGACGGUCUUCGGAUUGUAAACUUUUGUUCUUAGUGAAGAUAAUGACGGUAGCUAAGGAGGAAGCCACGGCUAACUACGUGCCAGCAGCCGCGGUAAUACGUAGGUGGCAAGCGUUGUCCGGAUUUACUGGGUGUAAGGGGAGCGCAGGCGGGAGAUCAAGUUGGAUGUGAAAUGUCGGGGCUUAACCCCGGAACUGCAUCCAAAACUGAUUUUCUUGAGUGAAGUAGAGGUAGGCGGAAUUCCGAGUGUAGCGGUGAAAUGCGUAGAUAUUCGGAGGAACACCAGUGGCGAAGGCGGCCUACUGGGCUUUAACUGACGCUGAGGCUCGAAAGUGUGGGGAGCAAACAGGAUUAGAUACCCUGGUA